GUGCUCACUUCGGAAGCACAUAUACUAAAAUUGGAAUAAUACGGAGAAGAUUAACAUGGCCGCUGUGCAAGGAUGACAUGCAAAUUCGUGAAGCAUUCCAUAUUUUU
Molecule: small nuclear RNA, 107 nt
Organism: Bison bison bison
Lineage: Eukaryota; Metazoa; Chordata; Mammalia; Artiodactyla; Bovidae
Source: Ensembl